GGGCCCGUAGCUCAGCGGCAGAGCGGUCGGCUCAUAACCGAUUGGUCGUUGGUUCGAAUCCAGCCGGGCCCACCA
This 75-nucleotide transfer RNA is filed under the name Chloroflexi bacterium CG07_land_8_20_14_0_80_51_10. Its description in RNAcentral is "tRNA-Met". It matches the Rfam family "tRNA". From Rfam's summary of the family: Transfer RNA (tRNA) molecules are approximately 80 nucleotides in length. Lineage: Bacteria; Bacillati; Chloroflexota. The record is from RNAcentral. RNAcentral also lists the same sequence under 1 other name.